CAAAAACAAACAUCACAAGAAUAUAUCUAUGGGUUUAUCACUUCAAAAUAAAUAAUAACAAUAAAAAGAUAUCCCCAUGAGCUUUAACAAUGUAAAAGAACCCUCCACCCCCUCUUUUUCCAAUGAAUUUUUUGAGGAGGGACAUUACUUCUGUUCAUUUUUUUAAGGCUGUAUUCUUACAAAUAGGACACACAUUCUUCAGCCUUAGCCACUGCUUUAUGCAACUACUAUGGAAUUCAUGUCCACAAUCCAAUAUGCCCAUGUAAUCUCCACUUGUGUAUUCCUCCCGACAUAUACAGCAAGGCUCCGUAUUUGACGAUGACCCUCCAUAGACUGGCUCAUGCUUUCGCUCUUUCAUACGUCCCAAAAUGGUUUCUUCACUCAAUCCGG
RNAcentral lists this unclassified non-coding RNA (390 nucleotides) under Hevea brasiliensis (rubber tree). The record is from RNAcentral. Lineage: Eukaryota; Viridiplantae; Streptophyta; Magnoliopsida; Malpighiales; Euphorbiaceae.